AUGCAUCUCCUGAUGCUGACUACUGGAAGGAAGCUGUAUAGCGAGAUGGAUUCCAUCUUAGCUAACGGUACCUGGGAGAUCACUGACCGUCCAUAUGGGUGCAAACCUGUAGGAUGUAAGUGGGUGUUCAAGAAGAAGCUUAGACCUGAUGGUACGAUUGAAAAGUACAAGGCACGGCUUGUGGCCAAGGGUUAUACCCAGAAAGAAGGUGAAGAAUUCUUUGAUACUUACUCACCCGUGGCUAGACUGACCACAAUUCGGGUGCUACUAUCACUGGCUGCCUCACAUGGUCUUCUCGUCCAUCAAAUGGACGUUAAGACGGCUUUCCUUAAUGGAGAGUUGAAGGAGGAAAUUUACAUGGAUCAGCCAGAUGGUUUUGUAGUACCUGGUCAGGAAGGAAAGGUGUGCAAGUUAUUAAAGUCUUUAUAUGGCCUUAAACAAGCUCCUAAGGAGUGGCAUGAGAAGUUCGAAAGAACAUUAACUGCUGCCGGCUUUGUAGUAAACGAUGGUGACAAGUGCGUGUACUAUCGCUAUGGUGGGGGCGAAGGAGUUAUUCUUUGUCUGUAUGUCGACGACAUAUUGAUCUUUGGAACAAAACUUGAUUUAAUCAAGGAGGUUAAGGAUUUCUUAUCUCGCUGUUUUGAGAUGAAGGAUCUAGGAGUAGUUGAUGUUAUCUUAAACAUCAAGUUGUUGAGAGAUGAGAAUGGUGGGAUCACACUGCUUCAGUCUCAUUAUGUGGAAAAGGUCUUGAGUCGUUUUGGGUAUAGCGACUGCACGCCUUCUCCAACUCCAUAUGAUGCUAGUGUUGCCAUGAGGCCUGACAUCUCUUUUGCUGUGAGCAAGCUGAGUCGGUUUGUGUCAAAACCGGGAGAUGAUCAUUGGCAUGUGCUUGAGAGAGUUAUGCGCUGUUUGAAAGGCACCGCGAGCUAUGGGAUUCACUACACCGGGUAUCCAAGGGUACUGGAGGGUUAUAGUGACUCAAACUGGAUAUCUGAUGCUGAUGAGAUUAAGGCCACAAGUGGUUAUGUUUUUACACUUGGUGGUGGCACUGUUUCCUGGAAGUCUUGCAAGCAGACCAUCUUAACGAGGUCAACUAUGGAAGCAGAACUCACAGCAUUAGACACUGCCACUGUUGAAGCAGAGUGGCUUCGUGAACUCUUGAUGGACUUACCUAUGGUUGAAAAACCAAUACCCCCUAUCCUGAUGAACUGUGAUAAUCAAACUGUGAUCGUCAAGAUAAACAGUUCUAAGGACAAUAUGAAGUCCUCAAGGCAUGUGAAGAGGAGAUUAAAAUUUGUCAGAAAAUUGAGGAACUCCGGAGUUAUUACGUUGGAUUAUAUACAAACAUCGAAAAACUUGGCAGAUCCCUUCACAAAGGGUCUAUCACGUAAUGUGAUAGAUAAUGCAUCGAUGGAGAUGGGUUUGAGACCCACCGCAUGA
RNAcentral lists this ribosomal RNA (1440 nucleotides) under Triticum aestivum (bread wheat). RNAcentral's name for it is "partial small subunit ribosomal RNA". Lineage: Eukaryota; Viridiplantae; Streptophyta; Magnoliopsida; Poales; Poaceae. The record is from RNAcentral.